Molecule: long non-coding RNA, 1569 nt
Organism: Oryctolagus cuniculus (rabbit)
Lineage: Eukaryota; Metazoa; Chordata; Mammalia; Lagomorpha; Leporidae
Source: Ensembl
AACAGUAUGGCAUCACCAAGAAAUCCCACCUGCAUUAAAGAAAGUCACCAAGAGGAAGAGCACGUGGUGAGCAGUGAGAUGUUGGUGGGCUUGUUAACCUCUUUACAAGUGGACUGACCUUAGUAAAAAGAAGCUGAAACAUUCGUAUCAGAAUUGCUUGUAUCUUUCAUUGUGUGCUGUUUUAACUUCAUUGCAGUGUGCGGCAAGUGGCAAUUGCUUAGUGAAAUGACUGAUAUUUAAAUUGGAGGAAGUCCUCCAGUUUUUUAGUGGGAUAUCUGGGGAUGUUUCAGUUCGGUCUCCAUGCAACUUAGGUUGGUUAUGGUGUAAUCUUGGCGUUCAAAUCUCUGGGCACCUGGCCUGGUGCUAGUCAGUUCUAGAUUGGAAUCUUGCCUCUGACACCAAUUUUGAGCUAGCUAAUCACUUGGAACUUGCCUUUCCAUUAUACAAGGGGAAUGAUCUCUUUACCUUUUAGGAUAAAUGUCAAGUUUCUGCAGCACAGUGACUGUUCGUGUGUUAGUUCCUUGCCACUCCCUAGCCCAGAUAAACUUCCCUGCAAAGUUAGUGUCCACUUUUGCUUAAAAUUCAUAAAUAAUGCUUUCCUUAUGCUCUCAUUUUCUUUUCAAGUGAAGAGGUCAGGUGAACACACUUCAUAGAUACAGAAGCUCAGAAAAAUGAUUUGCCUAAGGCUUGUUUAAAAUAAAGUAGGUGGCUACUGUAGUUGGUGACAUGGAGUAUAGCUGCAGACCAGGAUUCAGUUUCACUAGCUCUUGCCUAAGGAGGAGCCUACAGAUGCUUAGGCUGCUAUGAAGUCCUCUUGCUUCCCAGGUUACUGCUUUAGUCACACCCAUAGAAGGAAUCCAGUCCAUGGAACCUGUGAUGGGAGCAAGAGUAUGGUUUUGCAACCUUGGGAAAAUCAUUCUGAAUCUAUUUCUCUGUCUAAAAUUGGAACCACCUCAUCAGGCCAAUGGAGCAGUGAAUGAAAACAUGAAAAUGAUUGUGUACUGCCUAGCAUGGUUCAUGAAUCCAAUAACAUGGGGAGAGAAGUCCAGCAGGCACGGGGCUUGUACUAUCAGGAGGCAUCUAUCACACAGUUCAAGCAAACUUGGCAGCUCCGUGGAAUCCACUGAACGCAAGGCCUUCAUGCUAGUGGGGGAGGAAGGCGGCAGGAGCAUUUGCCACUCAAAAGGCAAAGGUGCUCAAGACCUGUGGAAUGCAUGCACCUACCCUCCUGGACUCUCCACCUACGGGUCACACUGGCCAGCAGGUGGAGCUGCUGGUUCACCUCCUUGUCAGAGUCCGUGUAACCUGGGAAGGCCAGCUGGACAGGAGUUAGAAUCCUGUUUGAGUCAGGUCUUGAGCCAUUCUCUCCACAUGUUAUGGUCAAGCACCCAGUCUUCUAGUCGGCACUGUCCCUGGCUAAGCUUUGUCUAUAUAUGCUUUGACCUGUGCAGAGCAACCCUUACUUGCGCAUGCUCAGACUUGCUUAAUGGCGACUCCCUGGCAGAAAUCUUGUGUCAUGCAGAGAGUGAUAGGGGAGUGUGGGUGCAGUUUGUUGGGAAGAUUGCGUGA